This 338-nucleotide unclassified non-coding RNA is filed under the name Hevea brasiliensis (rubber tree). Lineage: Eukaryota; Viridiplantae; Streptophyta; Magnoliopsida; Malpighiales; Euphorbiaceae. The record is from RNAcentral.
CUCCAUCUUAUAAUUUGAUGAUUGAAAAGAAGAAUGGAGGAUUUAAAAGAAAAGAAAUUUGGUUCACAAAAUAGAGCCAUUUCAGAUCAUGCUCUAGGUUCUGGCCAGGUAUUUAUUAUUUCCUGGAUUCUUCAUAUGUAUUGAUUGUAUGAUUGACUAUACAAUGGGAUUUUUCGAUUUGUCGUUUUAAUGUGAAUAAAGAUUUUGAGUGGAAGAAUCAUAUUGGUGUUAGCGACAAGAAAGUUUUUGAAGGCAACUUUUUCCUGAGAUGAUGUACGAAGGUUAUAUAUGACUUGUGACCAUUUUCUGAUCCCGGACAGCUGCCACUUCAAGUGGGG